ACUUGUCUGAAUGGGACCCCAGCAAGGCACACGUGGUCUUCAAUGCGAUGGGCGCUUCCAGGGGACCCGGCGUCCCUUGGGUCCAGGAAGUCUUAUACUGUCUCCUCUCACGGCCCCGACAGAAACGGUUUCUGAGGAGUAGAAGUGUCCUAAGUGGAUUGGAAAUUACAAAUGCCGGAAAGAACCUAGGGAUGGAAAGCAGCCCUCAACUUUGACCAACCGCCGUGGGUUAGGUUUACAGUGGGGAAAAAAAAUAGAAAUUGUGCCUGACUUCAAUGACCGCCACUAUUUGAAGCAAACUGCCCAUCCAAGCCUUAUCAUCCCCUUUAACACCCUAAUGUUUCUGUCCAUGUGGACUUCGACGUGGUCCUCUAGAAUGGUUUUGUACUUCCCCGCGACUCAGCCCACCAGCACCCAGUUGAAAUAAACAGCCAUGUUGCUCACAGAAAGCCUGUUUGGUGAUCUCUUCACACGGACACAUGAAACAUUUGGUGCCAAAGACCCGGGUCAGUGGGACUCCUUUUGGAGACCAGUCCCCUGUCCUCACCCUCACUCCGUGAAGAGAUCCACCUACGACCUCAGGUCCUCAGACCAACCAGCCCAAGGAACAUCUCACCGAUUUUAAAUCAGGACCCCACUAGAAAUUGGACUGUCCAACUGGCCCAAGGCUCUGAUCGACUCCUUCCCAGAUCUCCUCGGCUUAGCAGCUGAAGACUGACACUGCCUGAUCGCCUCGGAAGCCCCUUGGACCAUCACGGACGCUGAGCUUCGGGUAACUCUCACAGUGAAGGGAAACUGAAUUCCAAAAAGGAAACGAACUAACUCAAAUUUUCCCUGAUCUGGAAUUACAAGCAUCAGCUCAUUAUUCCUGCAAUAAAACCGAUUGGCCAGGAGCUAAACAGAAGACUUCUAAAAAAUGAAAACCCCUGGCCGGGCGCGGUGGCUCACGCCUGUAAUCCCAGCACUUUGGGACGCCGAGGCAGGCGGAUCACGAGGUCAGGAGAUCGAGACCAUCCCGGCUAACACUGUGAAACCCCGUCUCUACUAAAAAUGCGAAAAAUUAGCCGGGCGUGUUGGCGGGCGCCUGUAGUCCCAGCUACUCGGGAGGCUGAGGCAGGAG
Molecule: long non-coding RNA, 1120 nt
Filed under: Homo sapiens (human)
Lineage: Eukaryota; Metazoa; Chordata; Mammalia; Primates; Hominidae
Description: non-protein coding lnc-GOPC-1:5
Source: RNAcentral